GCUGCUGUAGCUUAGUUGAUAAAGCACUCCCUUGGUAAGGGAGAGACCGUGGGUUUGAGUCCCACCAGUAGCUCCA
Molecule: transfer RNA, 76 nt
Filed under: marine sediment metagenome
Description: tRNA-Thr
Rfam family: tRNA
About the family: Transfer RNA (tRNA) molecules are approximately 80 nucleotides in length. Their secondary structure includes four short double-helical elements and three loops (D, anti-codon, and T loops).
Source: RNAcentral